This 133-nucleotide small RNA is filed under the name Klebsiella variicola. RNAcentral describes it as "RtT sRNA". It matches the Rfam family "RtT RNA". From Rfam's summary of the family: This family represents a bacterial cis-regulatory element known as RtT RNA. The record is from RNAcentral. Lineage: Bacteria; Pseudomonadati; Pseudomonadota; Gammaproteobacteria; Enterobacterales; Enterobacteriaceae. RNAcentral also lists the same sequence under 1 other name.
UAUUCUGCCCUACGGGGAAGGAUGAGAAGCUUCGACCAAGGUUCGACUCGAGCGCCAGCGAGAGAACGUUGCCGCAGGCAAUGGCCCGAAGGGCGAGGAGCGAUAGCGACGAGUUAUCCUUCCCCCUCUAUUC